UACAGAGGUCUCAAGCGUUGUUCGGAUUCAUUGGGCGUAAAGGGCGCGUAGGCGGCGUGGUAAGUCGGGUGUGAAAUCUCGGAGCUCAACUCCGAAACUGCAUUCGAUACUGCCGUGCUUGAGGACUGGAGAGGAGACUGGAAUUUACGGUGUAGCGGUGAAAUGCGCAGAUAUCGGGAGGAACACCAGUAGCGAAGGCGGCUCCCUGGGCCAUUACUGACGCUGAGACGCGAAAGCGUGGGGAGCAAACAGG
This 253-nucleotide ribosomal RNA is filed under the name uncultured bacterium. RNAcentral's name for it is "partial 16S ribosomal RNA". It matches the Rfam family "Bacterial small subunit ribosomal RNA", at positions 524 to 776 of the family's 1533-position model. The record is from RNAcentral.